CUGGAAGGGCCUCGGAGGUCAUCUAGAUAGUCCAGCUUUUCCAUCCCAUUUUAUAGAUGAGGAAAUUGAGGCCCAAAGACGAGGGGAGAACUUGUCCAAGGUCUCAGAGCUCAGUGGUGGACCCUGGCCAGCACCUGAGUGUCCUGCUGCCUCUCUCCCUGGACCCAUGCAUCUUCCACUUGGGGGGAUCUGCAUGGGUCCCAAAUGAAGGGGGCAGAGAGAGUCGGGUCAGCUCUCUUGCCCAGUCUGGGGGCCGUGCCUGAGCGAGGCCCUGCAGGGUAGAGGAUGAGGCAGCUUCCCUCUCCUUUUCAGAUGAAGACUUCCGGGGCAGGCAUCAGGAGGCGCCCAAGGUGGAGGAAGGCCUGCGAGAAGGACAGUAAGAGAUGCCAGCAGCUCUUCCUUGCCAGAGAUGAUCUGACCCGGUGGGGGCAGCUGGAAAGCAACACUGGCCCCCAGCUGAAGGGCCCAGCUGCAGCCGGACAGAUGGUGCUUGAGAACCGAGGCCCAGUGAUCCUCCAGCCACAGUCCAGCCCAACCACUGCCACUUUCCAUGGGACUUAGAACUUCGGAGUUGCUGCCUUGCAAUUGGAGGAAGGACCUGGGGCCCCUAUAGGCAGCAGCCAAUUACAGCCCCUUUUGUAGCCAGGCGUUCCUAUGGUCAAAGAGUGGAAAUGCAGGAACCAACCUCCCUUAAAAAAAAAAAAAA
This 706-nucleotide small RNA is filed under the name Pongo abelii (Sumatran orangutan). Its description in RNAcentral is "retained intron". Lineage: Eukaryota; Metazoa; Chordata; Mammalia; Primates; Hominidae. The record is from RNAcentral.